UACGUAGGGGGCGAGCGUUAUCCGGAAUUAUUGGGCGUAAAGAGUACGUAGGUGGUUUCGUAAGCGAGGGGUGAAAGCCCGGGGCUUAACUCCGGCGAGCCUUUCGAACUGCGAGACUUGAGUGCAGGAGGGGGAAGUGGAAUUCCUAGUGUAGCGGUGAAAUGCGUAGAUAUUAGGAGGAACACCGGUGGCGAAGGCGACUUUCUGGACUGUAACUGACACUGAGGUACGAAAGCGUGGGGAGC
This 245-nucleotide ribosomal RNA is filed under the name uncultured Anaerovorax sp. Its description in RNAcentral is "partial 16S ribosomal RNA". It matches the Rfam family "Bacterial small subunit ribosomal RNA", at positions 524 to 769 of the family's 1533-position model. Lineage: Bacteria; Bacillati; Bacillota; Clostridia; Peptostreptococcales; Anaerovoracaceae. The record is from RNAcentral.